AACGAACGCUGGCGGCAUGCCUAAUACAUGCAAGUCGAACGAGAUCUUCGGGUCUAGUGGCGCACGGGUGCGUAACGCGUGGGAAUCUGCCCUUUGGUUCGGAAUAACAGUUGGAAACGACUGCUAAUACCGGAUGAUGACGAAAGUCCAAAGAUUUAUCGCCAGAGGAUGAGCCCGCGUAGGAUUAGCUAGUUGGUGUGGUAAAGGCGCACCAAGGCGACGAUCCUUAGCUGGUCUGAGAGGAUGAUCAGCCACACUGGGACUGAGACACGGCCCAGACUCCUACGGGAGGCAGCAGUGGGGAAUAUUGGACAAUGGGCGAAAGCUUGAUCCAGCAAUGCCGCGUGAGUGAUGAAGGCCUUAGGGUUGUAAAGCUCUUUUACCCGGGAUGAUAAUGACAGUACCGGGAGAAUAAGCUCCGGCUAACUCCGUGCCAGCAGCCGCAGUAA
Molecule: ribosomal RNA, 449 nt
Filed under: uncultured bacterium
Lineage: Bacteria
Description: partial 16S ribosomal RNA
Rfam family: Bacterial small subunit ribosomal RNA
Source: RNAcentral